UUGUCAUCAAGAUGCCUGUCAUGUACCGGAUUGGCUGCCUGCGGGACGUCCCUUCUCCUAGAUGUGGUUUUCUUCAUCUACCUCUACCAACGGUGGAUCUACCGCGUCGACCCCACCCGUGUGAACGAGUUCGGUAUGAGUGGAGAGGAUGUCUCAGCAGCGGCAUCCGGGGCCCAGGCAUCCACUGCAGCAGGGGCUCUCACACCUUCACCCAGCACAGCUGUCACCGGAGAGGAUGCCUCCACAGUCCCAACGGCUACUCCUGGGGCCUGCACGGCCAGCCAACCCCAGGAAGACCCUCCAAAACCAGCAGAGGACAAGAAAAAGGAUUAGCCACUGCAGUUCUCCUUAUCUGCUCCUGGUGACUGACCGCCAACCACCUUCCGGGCCCCUACCCUACCCUCCCUGUCGCCCUUUUCCUGGACAGAUCAGGCCGGGGCGGCAGGAGGCCCCCAGGGCCAGGGCCCAGUGUGUGAGAUGGGGCCGGGCAGGCUGGGGCUGGCUGUGUGUAUGUGGAGGCAACCGUCCGUCGUCUUGUCUGUCUGUUCCUGUGUGUUUGCAGACAUCUCGCCCUGCCAGCCCAGCACCAUCGGGAAUCAUGGUGAAGCCAAUAUGGCGCCGAGGGUGGGCCAGGCGGGGAAGGGGCCAGGGCUCCUCUGUGGGAUGCCUAUGGUCCUCCAUCAUCUUGUCCCUCAUCCCCUGACCACCCUGCUCCCAGACCACCACCCUUUAACACAGUCUGGAUUUAAUAAAUUCAUAUGGGUGUUUAA
This 770-nucleotide long non-coding RNA is filed under the name Rattus norvegicus (Norway rat). RNAcentral describes it as "long non-coding RNA NONRATT002365". Lineage: Eukaryota; Metazoa; Chordata; Mammalia; Rodentia; Muridae. The record is from RNAcentral.